This 547-nucleotide ribosomal RNA is filed under the name uncultured bacterium. RNAcentral describes it as "partial 16S ribosomal RNA". It matches the Rfam family "Bacterial small subunit ribosomal RNA", at positions 355 to 896 of the family's 1533-position model. The record is from RNAcentral.
CUAAGAAUAUUCCGCAAUGGACGGAAGUCUGACGGAGCGACGCCGCGUGGAUGACGAAGGCCGAAAGGUUGUAAAGUUCUUUUGCUGGGGAAGAAUAACCGCAGGAGGGAAUGCCUGUGGGAUGACAAGAACCGGCGAAUAAGCCCCGGCCAACUACGUGCCAGCAGCCGCGGUAACACGUAGGGGGCGAGCGUUGUUCGGAAUUACUGGGCGUAAAGGGCAUGUAGGCGGCUUGGAAAGCCUGGCGUGAAAGUCUGCAGCUUAACUGCAGGGGUGCGCUGGGAACUGCUGAGCUUGAGUGACGGAGAGGGAGCUGGAAUUCCUGGUGUAGGGGUGAAAUCUGUAGAUAUCAGGAAGAACACCGAUGGCGAAGGCAAGCUCCUGGCCGAUGACUGACGCUGAGGUGCGAAAGUGUGGGGAUCAAAACAGGAUUAGAUACCCUGGUAGUCCACACAGUCAACGAUGUGCACCAGGUGCUGGGGCGGUAGCUUCGGUGCCGGAGCGAACGUGGUAAGUGCACCGCCUGGGGAGUAUGCUCGCAAGGGUG